AUGCACGCCGCAAUACACAUCUUUAUUUUCUCUACCAGCAUGCUCUUGUUCUGUGUGACUAGAUGUCCAAAACAUUGUCGUCUCAGUUCUGGCCAAGGAUAUUCAUAUCGUUGUAUUAAAUCACCUUUCUUUCCUCUAAUGUUGUAUUGCAGGGUUCAAGGAUUCCCGAGAAGUGGCCAAUGUUCAGUGAAACUGUUGUAUGCUCCCGAGGAAAGUGGUCUCGUGCUAAAAAUCAAGUGCAUUGACCAUGUUAUAUGUUUUCUGAUUUCUUCGCUCAAAAGGUCAUCGAUUGUUGAAUAUGUCUUCUAUGCUACACUUCUUUAA
Molecule: ribosomal RNA, 324 nt
Filed under: Triticum aestivum (bread wheat)
Lineage: Eukaryota; Viridiplantae; Streptophyta; Magnoliopsida; Poales; Poaceae
Description: partial small subunit ribosomal RNA
Source: RNAcentral